Long non-coding RNA from Ochotona princeps (American pika), 1104 nucleotides. RefSeq lists it as uncharacterized. Lineage: Eukaryota; Metazoa; Chordata; Mammalia; Lagomorpha; Ochotonidae. The transcript has 4 exons. The record is from RefSeq and is a predicted model, not a curated record.
CACUCCAUGUCAGAGAAAUACUGAGGAAAACAUGAUUGUAUCUUGUAAUAAAAAUCUUUAUCCUGUAACAGCAGCUAACAUGGACUGAAAGUGUACAACGUACCAAGUCUUGUGCAAAGCUCUUUAUAUGCAGAAUGUCAUGUAAUCUGCCUGGCAACCCAAUGAGACAGAAAAGUUUAUUUGCGAAGGGACCAAGUCUGUGAUCAGCAAAGAACUUCAACGAGACGAUUGAUAGGAUCCUUUAGCAAGAUUAUGAGCACAGUGAAUUAUAAUGAAGCAAAGGAAAAGAUCAGCUAGAAGAUUAUUUGCAGCACCUAGGACUCUGAGCAGCUGAGGCAGAGAAGCCCCCAGCAGCCACUGUGACUGAGAAGAAAGAAGCCAAAAAGUGAGACCUGACAGCUUAAUGCGACCCCAGCAAAAAGGCCACAGCCAGACCAGCAGCUACUCAAGUAUGACUGCCCUGCUCAGGCUAGGGCAUGUAGCCCCAGUGCUGUGCCAGAACACAACAGCACAAAGAGCUCUGAUCUCUGUAGGGGGUGCGUCUACUUUAAGAUUUGGGAAGAAAGGGGCCUUCACUGAGAGCCAUCUCUCUUCCACCAGAAACAUGGAAAAAGAAGACAAACAGGGGUGUAGGGAAAGGGCCCCAUCUCCACCACUUCCCCAGGUGGAGCCUGAGGGCCCCUCUCCUCUUCUGGCAGCCUUGGAAAGCCUGGGUACUGCCAGGUACCCUAUUUACCUGAACACCUGCAGAGAAUCCCCCAGCAAUUGGCCCGCCUCUAGCCUCUGCAGAACUAAGGUCUGAGACUGGCUGUGCCAGGCACACAGCCCUUCCUGGACUUCCUGAAUGGCUUCCACAUGCAACUGUGAAAGUCCGUAUCAGGUAAUCAAGAUGUCAGGGUCCAUGGCCCUGAGGGGGAAUGGGGAUAUCUUGUUUUCCAUUGACAAUGCAGGGGGACAUUAGGUAUGGGCAGCUCUCUACCAAUAUACUUCACCACAGGACCUCUGCCAUGCCAGACAUCUAAGGACCCAUCUCUCCCAACCACGGAAAACUCGAUAAGCUUUAGACCUCAUGCUCCCUUCUCCCCACUCCCACUGCAGCCUCUG